Molecule: ribosomal RNA, 240 nt
Filed under: uncultured bacterium
Lineage: Bacteria
Description: partial 16S ribosomal RNA
Rfam family: Bacterial small subunit ribosomal RNA
Source: RNAcentral
UAACCUGCCCAAGAGACUGGGAUAACACCUGGAAACAGAUGCUAAUACCGGAUAACAACACUAGACGCAUGUCUAGAGUUUAAAAGAUGGUUCUGCUAUCACUCUUGGAUGGACCUGCGGUGCAUUAGCUAGUUGGUAGGGUAACGGCCUACCAAGGCGAUGAUGCAUAGCCGAGUUGAGAGACUGAUCGGCCACAUUGGGACUGAGACACGGCCCAAACUCCUACGGGAGGCAGCAGCA